This 305-nucleotide ribosomal RNA is filed under the name uncultured bacterium. RNAcentral describes it as "bacterial SSU rRNA". It matches the Rfam family "Bacterial small subunit ribosomal RNA", at positions 334 to 633 of the family's 1533-position model. The record is from RNAcentral.
UAGCCUACGGGACGCAGCAGUAGGGAAUUUUCGUCAAUGGGCGCAAGCCUGAACGAGCAAUGCCGCGUGAACGAGGAAGGUCUUCGGAUCGUAAAGUUCUGUUGAAGGGGAAAAAGAGCGGAUAGAUGAAAUGAACUCCGAUUGAUAUUACCCUUCGAGGAAGUCACGGCUAACUACGUGCCAGCAGCCGCGGUAAUACGGAGGUUGCGAGCGUUAUCCGGAAUGAUUGGGCUUAAAGGGUGCGUAGGCGGCCUGCUAAGUCUGGAGUGAAAGGUACGGGCUCAACCGGUACAGGCUCUGGAAAC